CACAAACCCUCUUUUCUAUCUCUCUCUUUCUCUCAUCUCCUUCAAUCAAGCCCAAAAACCUCCAAUAAUCCUCCAUCCAUGGCGGCCGAUCCCACUCAGCUUCAUCAACUCUCCUUGCUUCUGGGUUCCGAUCGUACCCACUUCGAAACCCUAAUUUCCCAUCUCAUGUCCUCCUCCAAUGACCAGCGUUCACAAGCCGAAUCCCUUUUCAACCUCUGCAAACAAGCCCACCCAGAUGCUCUUGCUCUCAAACUCGCCGAUCUUCUCCACCCCUCUGCUCACCCUGAGGCCCGUACCAUGUCUGCCAUUCUCCUCCGCCGUCAACUCAUUCGUGACGAUUCUUAUCUCUGGCCUCGUCUUACUCCCUCCACUCAAUCUACUCUUAAAUCUGUUUUGCUUUCCUCACUUCAAACCGAGGAAUCUAAAUCUAUUUCCAAAAAGUUGUGUGAUACCAUCGCUGAACUUGCUUCUGGGAUUUUGCCUGAUGGGG
RNAcentral lists this unclassified non-coding RNA (490 nucleotides) under Hevea brasiliensis (rubber tree). The record is from RNAcentral. Lineage: Eukaryota; Viridiplantae; Streptophyta; Magnoliopsida; Malpighiales; Euphorbiaceae.